RNA transcript from Salvia miltiorrhiza (redroot sage), 1883 nucleotides. It is a transcript of the gene named probable LRR receptor-like serine/threonine-protein kinase At2g23950, with no coding region annotated. NCBI's taxonomy places the organism in Eukaryota, Viridiplantae, Streptophyta, Magnoliopsida, Lamiales, Lamiaceae. The transcript has 9 exons. The record is from RefSeq and is a predicted model, not a curated record.
CGACGGAAUCUAAGCACCGUCAUAAAUCCGUCGAGAAAUUUUAAUUUUUUAAAAUAUUAUUUUUAUUUUUUAUUUGCCCGUCGUUAAUCUGUCGACAAUUAUUAAAUUUAAUUAAAAAUUUAAGGGCCCGUCGAGAAUCCGUCGACAUAUAUAAAUUAAAAAUAAUUAUUUUUAUUAUUUCGGAGGGCCGUCGAGAAUCCGUCGAGAAAUUAAGUUUUCUGAUAUUAGAUCCUCUUCCUCAAAAUCAGUUGUUCUAAAUUGACCCCGCGCUAGCUGCUCCGCCCCCUGCCCCGUCAGCUGCCUCUCCUCGCCGCCGCGCCGCCGGAGUCGCUCUACACGAGCAGGUUCUCCGCUGCUCCGUUUCGUUUCUCUGAAUCAGUUGCCCCGUUCCGUUUCUAUGAAUCAGUUGCCCUAAAUCAGUUCUCUGAUUAUUUUAAUUGACGUCGGCCCCUGCUCCGUUCGCCGCGCCGUCAGCCGGAGUCCCCUGCUGCUGUCUGCCGCCGCUUCUCUCCCCUGCCGGAUCUCCUCUCUCUCUCUCUCUCUCUCAAAUUUGAAAGUUUAUGCCAAAUUCGAGUUGUCGUUCACCUGCCAGAAUCGCCACAUUCUGAUUCUCCUUUCCUUCAACAGCGGAAAAGAGAGUGAGUUUGGGCAGGAAGAUGAUUAUUUACUGUCUAACCCGUAUCACUUGAGGUAUGCUGCUUAAGGAUCACAAUUCAAGUGUAGGGAUGGAUUACAUAGAGAUGAAGCGACGGAGCAGCUUCACGAGAAGGAUCCUCUUGGCCGUUGUUGUUUCCGCGCUUUUGAUCUUCAUGGUUAAAGGCCCUUCUAGUAUUAGUGGCUCUUCAAAGGACAAUCUCUCUCGUGGAAACAUGGGAGCCGUUAGAAUCCUUCAAGGACUCUAUCCGGAGCCGGGGAGACUUCAGUUCAUAUAUGCUGAUCUAGGAGAUGCAGCUGCUGUAUCCCUUUAGAGCUUCUCCGUAUCUUCGACUAAUUAGCACGUUGUCUAAGUUGUUCCUUAAGUCUUGAUAUCAGGUAGACAAGAUAUUCUCUGAGAAUGCAUUUGAUGCUGUUAUUGCAUAGUCCAUGUCUUAGCUACGAUUUUCCGUUGUUGAAGCUUGGAGUUUUCUCGUCCCAAGUGUUUCAGGAGUCUCCAAGAGCAAAAAUCUGGAAGAGGAAACAUUCCCCAAUUUACGAAAUGGAGAAACACUGCAACAUCGAAAUCUCCGCACAAAUUUCUCGAGUGUCUUCUAGAAAAAAUGGUUUCAUGCCCUUGAUUAGUAUGUUGUAGUAGUAUUCGAGGGAAGCUGGGAGAUGGUGUCGUGGUGGCAGUGAAAUGACUAAAAGACUUGAUGGGAACUACAGGGGAAUCACAGUUCAGAAUUGAGCUGGAGAUGAUCAGUCUAGCAGUCCAUCGCAAUCUGCUUCGUAUAAUAGGCUACUGCGCCACCCCAAAUGAGAGGCUUCUUGUGUAUCCUUAUAUGUCUAAUGGGAGUGUGGCGGCAAGACUUAGAGGGGAACCGACUCUAGAUUGGACGACGAGGAAGAAGAUUGCAGUGGGAGCUACAAGGGGGCUGCUGUAUCUCCAUGAUCACUGUGAUCCCAAGAUAAUCCACAGGAAUGUAAAGGCUGCAAACGUGCUGCUAGAUGAGCACUAUGAGGCCGUUGUGGGUGAUUUCGGGCUUGCAAAGCUGCUGGAUCAUGGCGAAUCCCAUGUGACCACAACAGUUAUGUUGUUUGAAUUUAUGUUGUUACUAUGGAGUUAGGAUUUAUGAUACUUGAUAGUUAACUUAAUUUAAAUUUGUAGGUAUAUUGAAUUUGGAUGUUUAUUACAUUAAGUAUGUUUGAAUUUGGAUCUUUAUUAUAAGUAUAUUUGAAUUUGAAUA